This 496-nucleotide ribosomal RNA is filed under the name uncultured bacterium. Its description in RNAcentral is "partial 16S ribosomal RNA". It matches the Rfam family "Bacterial small subunit ribosomal RNA", at positions 28 to 507 of the family's 1533-position model. The record is from RNAcentral.
GAUGAACGCUGGCGGCGUGCCUAAUACAUGCAAGUCGAGCGAACAGAUAAGGAGCUUGCUCCUUUGAAGUUAGCGGCGGACGGGUGAGUAACACGUGGGUAACCUACCUAUAAGACUGGGAUAACUUCGGGAAACCGGAGCUAAUACCGGAUAACAUUUAGAACCGCAUGGUUCUAAAGUGAAAGAUGGUUUUGCUAUCACUUAUAGAUGACCCGCGCCGUAUUAGCUAGUUGGUAAGGUAACGGCUUACCAAGGCGACGAUACGUAGCCGACCUGAGAGGGUGAUCGGCCACACUGGAACUGAGACACGGUCCAGACUCCUACGGGAGGCAGCAGUAGGGAAUCUUCCGCAAUGGGCGAAAGCCUGACGGAGCAACGCCGCGUGAGUGAUGAAGGGUUUCGGCUCGUAAAACUCUGUUAUUAGGGAAGAACAAAUGUGUAAGUAACUGUGCACAUCUUGACGGUACCUAAUCAGAAAGCCACGGCUAACUACGUG